Molecule: ribosomal RNA, 253 nt
Filed under: uncultured bacterium
Lineage: Bacteria
Description: partial 16S ribosomal RNA
Rfam family: Bacterial small subunit ribosomal RNA
Source: RNAcentral
UACGUAGGGUGCGAGCGUUGUCCGGAAUUAUUGGGCGUAAAGGGCGCGUAGGCGGCCUUGCGUGUCUUUCGUGAAAUCCCUCGGCUUAACUGAGGACGUGCGGAAGAAACUGCAGGGCUUGAGUCCGGGAGAGGGGGGUGGAAUUCCCAGUGUAGCGGUGAAAUGCGUAGAUAUUGGGAGGAACACCGGUGGCGAAGGCGGCCCCCUGGACCGGUACUGACGCUGAGGCGCGAAAGCGUGGGGAGCAAACGGG